RNAcentral lists this ribosomal RNA (226 nucleotides) under Streptomyces mirabilis. RNAcentral describes it as "partial 16S ribosomal RNA". It matches the Rfam family "Bacterial small subunit ribosomal RNA", at positions 575 to 800 of the family's 1533-position model. Lineage: Bacteria; Bacillati; Actinomycetota; Actinomycetes; Kitasatosporales; Streptomycetaceae. The record is from RNAcentral.
GCGGCUUGUCACGUCGGGUGUGAAAGCCCGGGGCUUAACCCCGGGUCUGCAUUCGAUACGGGCUAGCUAGAGUGUGGUAGGGGAGAUCGGAAUUCCUGGUGUAGCGGUGAAAUGCGCAGAUAUCAGGAGGAACACCGGUGGCGAAGGCGGAUCUCUGGGCCAUUACUGACGCUGAGGAGCGAAAGCGUGGGGAGCGAACGGGAUUAAAUACCCUGGUAGUCCACGC